GAUGAAGGAACGUAGCGAAAUGCGAUAAGUAAUGUGAAUUGCAGAAUUCAGUGAAUCAUCGAAUCUUUGAACGCACAUUGCGCCCGCCAGUAUUCUGGCGGGCAUGCCUGUUCGAGCGUCAUUUCAACCCUCAAGCACAGCUUGGUGUUGGGACUCGCGUUAAUUCGCGUUCCCCAAAUUGAUUGGCGGUCACGUCGAGCUUCCAUAGCGUAGUAGUAAAACCCUCGUUACUGGUAAUCGUCGCGGCCACGCCGUUAAACCCCAACUUCUGAAUGUUGACCUCGGAUCAGGUAGGAAUACCCGCUGAACUUAAGCAUAUCAAUAAGCGGAGGA
Molecule: unclassified non-coding RNA, 333 nt
Filed under: soil metagenome
Description: partial contains 5.8S ribosomal RNA, internal transcribed spacer 2, and large subunit ribosomal RNA
Rfam family: 5.8S ribosomal RNA (bases 1-121)
Source: RNAcentral